Molecule: ribosomal RNA, 1419 nt
Filed under: Escherichia coli
Lineage: Bacteria; Pseudomonadati; Pseudomonadota; Gammaproteobacteria; Enterobacterales; Enterobacteriaceae
Description: partial 23S ribosomal RNA
Rfam family: Bacterial large subunit ribosomal RNA
Source: RNAcentral
CCGGCGAUUUCCGAAUGGGGAAACCCAGUGUGAUUCGUCACACUAUCAUUAACUGAAUCCAUAGGUUAAUGAGGCGAACCGGGGGAACUGAAACAUCUAAGUACCCCGAGGAAAAGAAAUCAACCGAGAUUCCCCCAGUAGCGGCGAGCGAACGGGGAGGAGCCCAGAGCCUGAAUCAGUGUGUGUGUUAGUGGAAGCGUCUGGAAAGGCGCGCGAUACAGGGUGACAGCCCCGUACACAAAAAUGCACAUGCUGUGAGCUCGAUGAGUAGGGCGGGACACGUGGUAUCCUGUCUGAAUAUGGGGGGACCAUCCUCCAAGGCUAAAUACUCCUGACUGACCGAUAGUGAACCAGUACCGUGAGGGAAAGGCGAAAAGAACCCCGGCGAGGGGAGUGAAAAAGAACCUGAAACCGUGUACGUACAAGCAGUGGGAGCCUCUUAAUGGGGUGACUGCGUACCUUUUGUAUAAUGGGUCAGCGACUUAUAUUCUGUAGCAAGGUUAACCGAAUAGGGGAGCCGAAGGGAAACCGAGUCUUAACUGGGCGUUAAGUUGCAGGGUAUAGACCCGAAACCCGGUGAUCUAGCCAUGGGCAGGUUGAAGGUUGGGUAACACUAACUGGAGGACCGAACCGACUAAUGUUGAAAAAUUAGCGGAUGACUUGUGGCUGGGGGUGAAAGGCCAAUCAAACCGGGAGAUAGCUGGUUCUCCCCGAAAGCUAUUUAGGUAGCGCCUCGUGAAUUCAUCUCCGGGGGUAGAGCACUGUUUCGGCAAGGGGGUCAUCCCGACUUACCAACCCGAUGCAAACUGCGAAUACCGGAGAAUGUUAUCACGGGAGACACACGGCGGGUGCUAACGUCCGUCGUGAAGAGGGAAACAACCCAGACCGCCAGCUAAGGUCCCAAAGUCAUGGUUAAGUGGGAAACGAUGUGGGAAGGCCCAGACAGCCAGGAUGUUGGCUUAGAAGCAGCCAUCAUUUAAAGAAAGCGUAAUAGCUCACUGGUCGAGUCGGCCUGCGCGGAAGAUGUAACGGGGCUAAACCAUGCACCGAAGCUGCGGCAGCGACACUAUGUGUUGUUGGGUAGGGGAGCGUUCUGUAAGCCUGUGAAGGUGGCCUGUGAGGGUUGCUGGAGGUAUCAGAAGUGCGAAUGCUGACAUAAGUAACGAUAAAGCGGGUGAAAAGCCCGCUCGCCGGAAGACCAAGGGUUCCUGUCCAACGUUAAUCGGGGCAGGGUGAGUCGACCCCUAAGGCGAGGCCGAAAGGCGUAGUCGAUGGGAAACAGGUUAAUAUUCCUGUACUUGGUGUUACUGCGAAGGGGGGACGGAGAAGGCUAUGUUGGCCGGGCGACGGUUGUCCCGGUUUAAGCGUGUAGGCUGGUUUUCCAGGCAAAUCCGGAAAACCAAGGCUGAGGCGUGAUGA